This is a ribosomal RNA of 402 nucleotides. It matches the Rfam family "Bacterial small subunit ribosomal RNA", at positions 355 to 774 of the family's 1533-position model.
UGGGGAAUAUUGCACAAUGGACGAAAGUCUGAUGCAGCGACGCCGCGUGAGGGAAGAAGGUAUUCGUAUUGUAAACCUCUGUCUUCGGGGACGAUAAUGACGGUACCCGAGGAGGAAGCCACGGCUAACUACGUGCCAGCAGCCGCGGUAAAACGUAGGUGGCAAGCGUUGUCCGGAAUUACUGGGUGUAAAGGGAGCGCAGGCGGAAAGGUAAGUUGAAUGUGAAAUCUAUGGGCUCAACCCAUAAAUUGCGUUCAAAACUAUUUUUCUUGAGUGAAGUAGAGGCAAGCGGAAUUCCAGGUGUAGCGGUGGAAUGCGUAGAUAUCUGGAGGAACACCGGUGGCGAAGGCGGCUUGCUGGGCUUUUACUGACGCUGAGGCUCGAAAGCAUGGGUAGCAAACA